Molecule: microRNA precursor, 59 nt
Filed under: Gadus morhua (Atlantic cod)
Lineage: Eukaryota; Metazoa; Chordata; Actinopteri; Gadiformes; Gadidae
Description: microRNA gmo-mir-11270 precursor
Source: miRBase by way of RNAcentral
CAGUUACAUGCCCGAUCAUCAGUGAUAGAAUUAAACACUGAUGCGGUUAUUUAAUUGAU